CUUGCGCUUCUUCCCUGCUGAAAGAGGUUUACAACCCGAAGGCCGUCAUCCCUCACGCGGCGUCGCUGCAUCAGGCUUUCGCCCAUUGUGCAAUAUUCCCCACUGCUGCCUCCCGUAGGAGUCUGGGCCGUGUCUCAGUCCCAGUGUGGCCGGUCGCCCUCUCAGGCCGGCUACCCGUCGUCGCCUUGGUAGGCCAUUACCCCACCAACAAGCUGAUAGGCCGCGGGCUCAUCCUUCACCGCCGGAGCUUUCAACCCCGUUCCAUGCGGAACAGAGUAUUAUCCGGUAUUAGACCCCGUUUCCAGGGCUUGUCCCAGAGUGAAGGGCAGAUUGCCCACGUGUUACUCACCCGUUCGCCACUAAUCCACCACCGAAGCGGCUUCAUCGUUCGACUUGCAUGUGUUAAGCACGCCGCCAGCGUUCGUCCUGAGCCAGGAUCAAACUCUAAGGAGGUGAU
RNAcentral lists this ribosomal RNA (457 nucleotides) under Streptomyces sp. 3LD3. RNAcentral describes it as "partial 16S ribosomal RNA". The record is from RNAcentral. Lineage: Bacteria; Bacillati; Actinomycetota; Actinomycetes; Kitasatosporales; Streptomycetaceae.